RNAcentral lists this ribosomal RNA (491 nucleotides) under uncultured bacterium. RNAcentral describes it as "partial 16S ribosomal RNA". It matches the Rfam family "Bacterial small subunit ribosomal RNA", at positions 29 to 506 of the family's 1533-position model. The record is from RNAcentral.
AGUGAACGCUGGCGGUAGGCCUAACACAUGCAAGUCGAACGGCAGCACAGUAAGAGCUUGCUCUUACGGGUGGCGAGUGGCGGACGGGUGAGGAAUACAUCGGAAUCUACUUUUUCGUGGGGGAUAACGUAGGGAAACUUACGCUAAUACCGCAUACGACCUACGGGUGAAAGCAGGGGAUCUUCGGACCUUGCGCGAUUGAAUGAGCCGAUGUCGGAUUAGCUAGUUGGCGGGGUAAAGGCCCACCAAGGCGACGAUCCGUAGCUGGUCUGAGAGGAUGAUCAGCCACACUGGAGCUGAGACACGGUCCAGACUCCUACGGGAGGCAGCAGUGGGGAAUAUUGGACAGUGGGCGCAAGCCUGCUCCAGCCAUACCGCGUGGGUGAAGAAGGCCUUCGGGUUGUAAAGCCCUUUUGUUGGGAAAGAAAAGCAGCAGGUUAAUACCCCGCUGUUCUGACGGUACCCAAAGAAUAAGCACCGGCUAACUUCGU